CAGCUGUGCACAGGGAGAGGACAGCCACUGUUCCAGGCGGGCAGGACCUGGCCUCCGGAGCCUUCUCCCAGGUUCAGAUUCCUCCUCCUGUUCUUCUCUCCCACCUCCUCAGACUGUGUAGGAAUUUUUCGUUAUUCAGCACACCCCCCUUCCCGUCAGCCUGUACUUCAUUUCUCACAUUCCACCCGGGGCCUAGUCCGUAUUAUACUAAGCAGAAGGCCCAUCUCCCAAAUGAACCUGAGGCCGUAGAGAUCUAAACCUUUUAAGGGAGGAGGACCCAGUCUUUUGUUGGCUUUUGAACAAUGGCAGAGAACUGAGCCCAGCCGGGAUCCCCAAGUCAGGUUCUGGGCAGAUGUGUUUUUUUGUUGAAGCUGAUGUGGUCACCGUCCUAUUGAAGGGCAGAAGGGGGAGCAGGAGUGACUCCAUGACAGGCUGAAUCUCCUGACACAGGCCUAAGUUUCGGUUU
This is a long non-coding RNA of Lemur catta (Ring-tailed lemur), 466 nucleotides long. RefSeq lists it as uncharacterized. The record is from RefSeq and is a predicted model, not a curated record. Lineage: Eukaryota; Metazoa; Chordata; Mammalia; Primates; Lemuridae. The transcript is spliced from 3 exons.